RNAcentral lists this ribosomal RNA (421 nucleotides) under uncultured bacterium. RNAcentral describes it as "bacterial SSU rRNA". It matches the Rfam family "Bacterial small subunit ribosomal RNA", at positions 355 to 773 of the family's 1533-position model. The record is from RNAcentral.
UAAGGAAUAUUGGUCAAUGGAGGCAACUCUGAACCAGCCAUGCCGCGUGAAGGAUGAAGGUCCUCUGGAUUGUAAACUUCUUUUAUGUGGGACGAAACCCGGGAAUUCUUUCCCGAUUGACGGUACCAUAGGAAUAAGCACCGGCUAACUCCGUGCCACCAGCCGCGGUAAUACGGAGGGUGCAAGCGUUAUCCGGAUUCACUGGGUUUAAAGGGAGCGUAGGAGGGCAGGUAAGUCAGUGGUGAAAUCCUGGGGCUUAACCCCAGAACUGCCGUUGAUACUAUCUGUCUUGAAUAUUGUGGAGGUGAGCGGAAUAUGUCAUGUAGCGGUGAAAUGCUUAGAUAUGACAUAGAACACCAAUUGCGAAGGCAGCUCGCUACACAUAUAUUGACUCUGAGGCUCGAAAGCGUGGGGAUCAAAC